RNAcentral lists this ribosomal RNA (468 nucleotides) under uncultured bacterium. RNAcentral's name for it is "partial 16S ribosomal RNA". It matches the Rfam family "Bacterial small subunit ribosomal RNA", at positions 28 to 507 of the family's 1533-position model. The record is from RNAcentral.
GACGAACGCUGGCGGCGUGCUUAACACAUGCAAGUCGAACGGAAAGGCCCUGCUUUUGUGGGGUGCUUGAGUGGCGAACGGGUGAGUAACACGUGAGUAACCUGCCCUUGACUUUGGGAUAACUUCAGGAAACUGGGGCUAAUACCGGAUAGGAGCUCCUGCUGCAUGGUGGGGGUUGGAAAGUUUCGGCGGUUGGGGAUGGACUCGCGGCUUAUCAGCUUGUUGGUGGGGUAGUGGCUUACCAAGGCUUUGACGGGUAGCCGGCCUGAGAGGGUGACCGGCCACAUUGGGACUGAGAUACGGCCCAGACUCCUACGGGAGGCAGCAGUGGGGAAUAUUGCACAGUGGGCGGAAGCCUGAUGCAGCAACGCCGCGUGCGGGAUGACGGCCUUCGGGUUGUAAACCGCUUUCGCCUGUGACGAAGCGUGAGUGACGGUAAUGGGUAAAGAAGCACCGGCUAACUACGUG